AUUGAACGCUGGCGGCAUGCUUUACACAUGCAAGUCGAACGGCAGCGCGGGCUUCGGCCUGGCGGCGAGUGGCGAACGGGUGAGUAAUGCAUCGGAACGUGCCCAGUAGUGGGGGAUAGCCCGGCGAAAGCCGGAUUAAUACCGCAUACGACCUGAGGGUGAAAGCGGGGGACCGAAAGGCCUCGCGCUAUUGGAGCGGCCGAUGUCGGAUUAGCUAGUUGGUGGGGUAAAGGCUUACCAAGGCGACGAUCCGUAGCUGGUCUGAGAGGACGACCAGCCACACUGGGACUGAGACACGGCCCAGACUCCUACGGGGGGCAGCAGUGGGGAAUUUUGGACAAUGGGGGCAACCCUGAUCCAGCCAUGCCGCGUGCGGGAAGAAGGCCUUCGGGUUGUAAACCGCUUUUGUUCGGGAAGAAAUCCUCUGGGCUAAUACCCCGGGGGGAUGACGGUACCGGAAGAAUAAGCAACGGCUAACUACGUG
RNAcentral lists this ribosomal RNA (484 nucleotides) under uncultured bacterium. RNAcentral describes it as "partial 16S ribosomal RNA". It matches the Rfam family "Bacterial small subunit ribosomal RNA", at positions 28 to 507 of the family's 1533-position model. The record is from RNAcentral.